Molecule: ribosomal RNA, 446 nt
Filed under: uncultured bacterium
Lineage: Bacteria
Description: partial 16S ribosomal RNA
Rfam family: Bacterial small subunit ribosomal RNA
Source: RNAcentral
CCUACGGGAGGCAGCAGUCGAGAAUCAUUCACAAUGGGGGAAACCCUGAUGGUGCGACGCCGCGUGGGGGAAUGAAGGUCUUCGGAUUGUAAACCCCUGUCAUGUGGGAGCAAAUCAAAAAGAUAGUACCACAAGAGGAAGAGACGGCUAACUCUGUGCCAGCAGCCGCGGUAAUACAGAGGUCUCAAGUGUUGUCCGGAAUUACUGGGCGUAAAGGGUGCGUAGGGUGUUUCGUAAGUCGUGUGUGAAAGGCGCGGGCUCAACCCGCGGACGGCACAUGAUACUGCGAGACUAGAGUAAUGGAGGGGGAAGCGGAAUUCGGGGUGUAGCAGUGAAAUGCGUAGAUAUCGCGAAGAACACUCAUGGCGAAGGCAGGUUCCUGGACAUUAACUGACGCUGAGGCACGAAGGCCAGGGGAGCGAAAGGGAUUAGAUACCCGGGUAGUC